RNAcentral lists this ribosomal RNA (425 nucleotides) under uncultured bacterium. Its description in RNAcentral is "partial 16S ribosomal RNA". It matches the Rfam family "Bacterial small subunit ribosomal RNA", at positions 354 to 796 of the family's 1533-position model. The record is from RNAcentral.
GUGGGGAAUCUUGCGCAAUGGGCGAAAGCCUGACGCAGCCAUGCCGCGUGAAUGAUGAAGGUCUUAGGAUUGUAAAAUUCUUUCACCGGGGACGAUAAUGACGGUACCCGGAGAAGAAGCCCCGGCUAACUUCGUGCCAGCAGCCGCGGUAAUACGAAGGGGGCUAGCGUUGCUCGGAAUUACUGGGCGUAAAGGGCGCGUAGGCGGACAGUUUAGUCAGAGGUGAAAGCCCAGGGCUCAACCUUGGAAUUGCCUUUGAUACUGGCUAUCUUGAGUAUGGAAGAGGUAUGUGGAACUCCGAGUGUAGAGGUGAAAUUCGUAGAUAUUCGGAAGAACACCAGUGGCGAAGGCGACAUACUGGUCCAUUACUGACGCUGAGGCUCGAAAGCGUGGGGAGCAAACAGGAUUAGAAACCCGGGUAGUCC